Molecule: ribosomal RNA, 254 nt
Filed under: uncultured bacterium
Lineage: Bacteria
Description: partial 16S ribosomal RNA
Rfam family: Bacterial small subunit ribosomal RNA
Source: RNAcentral
UACGAAGGGGGCUAGCGUUGCUCGGAAUCACUGGGCGUAAAGCGCACGUAGGCGGACUCUUAAGUCGGUGGUGAAAUCCUGGAGCUCAACUCCAGAACUGCCUCCGAUACCGCGAGUCUCCGAGUCCGGGAGAGGUGAGUGGAACUGCGAGUGUAGAGGUGAAAUUCGUAGAUAUUCGCAAGAACACCAGUGGCGAAGGCGGCUCACUGGCCCGGUACUGACGCUGAGGUGCGAAAGCGUGGGGAGCGAACAGG